RNAcentral lists this ribosomal RNA (1435 nucleotides) under uncultured Planctomycetales bacterium. RNAcentral's name for it is "bacterial SSU rRNA". It matches the Rfam family "Bacterial small subunit ribosomal RNA". Lineage: Bacteria; Pseudomonadati; Planctomycetota; Planctomycetia; Planctomycetales. The record is from RNAcentral.
GGAUUAGGCAUGCAAGUCGUACGGGUGUAGCAAUACACCAGUGGCGAACGGGUGAGUAAUGUAUCGCUAACGUACCCCAGAGUCUGGGAUAGCUGCCCGAAAGGGCAGAUAAUACCAGGUAACAUCACGAGACCGCAUGGUUUUGUGCUCAAAGGGAAACCGUUCUGGGAGCGGGCGAUAUCGUAUCAGCUAGUUGGUGAGGUAAAGGCUUACCAAGGCGACGACGCGUAACCGGACUGAGAGGUUGGCCGGUCACAUUGGGACUGAGACACUGCCCAGACUCCUACGGGGGGCUGCAGUAACGAAUCUUCCGCAAUGCACGAAAGUGUGACGGAGCGACGCCGCGUGUGGGACGAAGUUCUUCGGAAUGUAAACCACUGUCAGGGGUUAGAAAGUUCUGAUCAACCCCAGAGGAAGGCACGGCUAACUCUGUGCCAGCAGCCGCGGUAAGACAGAGGUGCCAAGCGUUAGGCGGAAUCACUGGGCUUAAAGCGUGUGUAGGCGGACUGGUAAGUACUUUGUGAAAUCCCACGGCUCAACCGUGGAACCGCUUGGUAUACUGCCGGUCUUGAGCCACCUAGGGGCAACCGGAACAAACGGUGGAGCGGUGAAAUGCGUAGAUAUCGUUUGGAACGCCAAUGGUGAAAACAGGUUGCUGGGGGUGUGCUGACGCUGAGACACGAAAGCCAGGGGAGCGAACGGGAUUAGAUACCCCGGUAGUCCUGGCCGUAAACGAUGUCGACUAGAUCAUAGCGCCUCUGACGGUGUUAUGGUCGAAGCAAAAGUGCUAAGUCGACCGCCUGGGAAGUACGGCCGCAAGGCUAAAACUCAAAAGAAUUGACGGGGGCUCGCACAAGCGGUGGAGCAUGUGGCUUAAUUCGAUGCAACGCGAAGAACCUUACCGGGGCUUGACAUGAUAGAAGUAGGAACCCGAAAGGGCGACGAACGGUAUCCAGCCCAAAACUAUCACAGGUGUUGCAUGGCUGUCGUCAGCUCGUGUCGUGAGACGUUGGGUUAAGUCCCCUAACGAGCGAAACCCUUGUCUUUAGUUGCCAACAGGUAAUGCUGGGCACUCUAAAGAAACUGCCGUCGUCAAGACGGAGGAAGGUGGGGAUGACGUCAAGUCAUCAUGGCCCUUAUAUCCCGGGCUGCACACGUGCUACAAUGGUCGGUACAAAGGGAUGCUAAGCCGCAAGGUGGAGCGAAACCCAGAAAGCCGAUCCCAGUUCAGAUUGGAGGCUGAAACCCGCCUCCAUGAAGUAGGAAUCGCUAGUAAUCGCGGAUCAGCUACGCCGCGGUGAAUAUGUUCCCGAGCCUUGUACACACCGCCCGUCAAGCCACCCAAGCAAGAUGCACCCAAAAUCACCGGCCUAACCUGAAAAGGAAGGAAGUGCCUAAGGUGUGUUUUGUGAGGAGGACUAAGUCGUAACAAGGU